This 254-nucleotide ribosomal RNA is filed under the name uncultured bacterium. RNAcentral's name for it is "partial 16S ribosomal RNA". It matches the Rfam family "Bacterial small subunit ribosomal RNA", at positions 524 to 777 of the family's 1533-position model. The record is from RNAcentral.
GACAGAGGGGGCAAGCGUUGCUCGGAAUCACUGGGCGUAAAGGGCGCGUAGGCGGGAUGGCAAGUCGGUCGUGAAAUCCUUCGGCUCAACCGAAGAACGUCGGCCGAUACUGCCGUUCUUGAGGGAUGCAGAGGAGAUUGGAAUUCCCGGUGUAGCGGUGAAAUGUGUAGAGAUCGGGAGGAACACCGGUGGCGAAGACGGGUCUCUGGGCAUCUCCUGACGCUGAGGCGCGAAAGCGUGGGGAGCAAACGGGG